GUAGGGAAUAUUGGGCAAUGGAGGCAACUCUGACCCAGCCAUGCCGCGUGCAGGAUGACGGCCCUCUGGGUUGUAAACUGCUUUUAUACGGGAAGAAAAAAUACUACGUGUAGUAUACUGACGGUACCGUAAGAAUAAGGAUCGGCUAACUCCGUGCCAGCAGCCGCGGUAAUACGGAGGAUCCAAGCGUUGUCCGGAUUUAUUGGGUUUAAAGGGUGCGUAGGCGGAUCUUUAAGUCAGUGGUGAAAGCCUGCAGCUUAACUGUAGAAUUGCCAUUGAAACUGAAGAUCUUGAAUGUGGUUAAAGUAGGCGGAAUGUAUCAUGUAGCGGUGAAAUGCUUAGAUAUGAUACAGAACACCUAUUGCGAAGGCAGCUUACUACGCAUAUAUUGACGCUGAGGCACGAAAGCGUGGGGAUCAAACAGGAUUAGAAACCCCAGUAGUCC
This 445-nucleotide ribosomal RNA is filed under the name uncultured bacterium. RNAcentral describes it as "partial 16S ribosomal RNA". It matches the Rfam family "Bacterial small subunit ribosomal RNA", at positions 354 to 796 of the family's 1533-position model. The record is from RNAcentral.